AGUACUACGACCCGGCUGACGAGCCCGUGGCCGAGGAGCCCUUCACGUUCGAGACAGAGCUGGACGACCUGCCCAAGGAGAAGCUGAAGGAGCUCAUCUUCCACGAGACGGAACAGUUCAAGGCUGGCGGGGGCACGCACUCGGCGCCCGCCGUCAUGUAGAGUCGGCCCGGUGGGGAGCAGUACGUGAGGCCCGGGCGACCGGCAGGGGACGUGCGGCCCGCGCCCGGCCGCCGCGCGGUUCGGACGCCCAG
This is a long non-coding RNA of Pollicipes pollicipes, 253 nucleotides long. RefSeq lists it as uncharacterized. The transcript has 3 exons. NCBI's taxonomy places the organism in Eukaryota, Metazoa, Arthropoda, Thecostraca, Pollicipedomorpha, Pollicipedidae. The record is from RefSeq and is a predicted model, not a curated record.